UAGGGAAUAUUGCUCAAUGGGGGAAACCCUGAAGCAGCAACGCCGCGUGGAGGAUGAAGGUUUUCGGAUUGUAAACUCCUUUUGUUAGAGAAGAUAAUGACGGUAUCUAACGAAUAAGCACCGGCUAACUCCGUGCCAGCAGCCGCGGUAAUACGGAGGGUGCAAGCGUUACUCGGAAUCACUGGGCGUAAAGAGUGCGCAGGCGGGGUAGCAAGUCAGAUGUGAAAGGCUAUGGCUUAACCAUAGAACUGCAUUUGAAACUGUUACUCUUGAGUAUGGGAGAGGUAGGUGGAAUUCUUGGUGUAGGGGUAAAAUCCGUAGAGAUCAAGAGGAAUACUCAUUGCGAAGGCGACCUACUGGAACAUUACUGACGCUCAUGCACGAAAGCGUGGGGAGCAAACAGG
RNAcentral lists this ribosomal RNA (404 nucleotides) under uncultured bacterium. Its description in RNAcentral is "bacterial SSU rRNA". It matches the Rfam family "Bacterial small subunit ribosomal RNA", at positions 355 to 776 of the family's 1533-position model. The record is from RNAcentral.